UAAAUUGUAAAAUUAUUUUUAAAGUGUGU
RNAcentral lists this non-coding RNA (29 nucleotides) under Mus musculus (house mouse). The record is from RNAcentral. Lineage: Eukaryota; Metazoa; Chordata; Mammalia; Rodentia; Muridae.